AUUGAACGCUGGCGGCAGGCCGAACACAUGCAAGUCGAGCGGAUGAAGGGAGCUUGCUCCUGGAUUCAGCGGCGGACGGGUGAGUAAUGCCUAGGAAUCUGCCUGGUAGUGGGGGAUAACGUCCGGAAACGGGCGCUAAUACCGCAUACGUCCUGAGGGAGAAAGUGGGGGAUCUUCGGACCUCACGCUAUCAGAUGAGCCUAGGUCGGAUUAGCUAGUUGGUGGGGUAAAGGCCUACCAAGGCGACGAUCCGUAACUGGUCUGAGAGGAUGAUCAGUCACACUGGAACUGAGACACGGUCCAGACUCCUACGGGAGGCAGCAGUGGGGAAUAUUGGACAAUGGGCGAAAGCCUGAUCCAGCCAUGCCGCGUGUGUGAAGAAGGUCUUCGGAUUGUAAAGCACUUUAAGUUGGGAGGAAGGGCAGUAAGUUAAUACCUUGCUGUUUUGACGUUACCAACAGAAUAAGCCCCGGCUACCUUCGUG
This 484-nucleotide ribosomal RNA is filed under the name uncultured bacterium. Its description in RNAcentral is "partial 16S ribosomal RNA". It matches the Rfam family "Bacterial small subunit ribosomal RNA", at positions 30 to 507 of the family's 1533-position model. The record is from RNAcentral.